Molecule: long non-coding RNA, 933 nt
Organism: Eubalaena glacialis (North Atlantic right whale)
Lineage: Eukaryota; Metazoa; Chordata; Mammalia; Artiodactyla; Balaenidae
Exons: 3
Source: RefSeq, a predicted model, not a curated record
AACGGCUGGAAGGAAGGUAACUAGAGUACAGAUGCUUCUGGUUUUUAAGGCACGUCUUAAACUAUAUUUCCUGGUCCUCUUGCUAUUAGGCUGACCGCAUUACUGAAUUCUGCCAGUGAAACAGGGACAGAAGUGAUUUUGCCACUUCCGGUCCUAGUCCAUAAAAUCCUUGGUCCAUCGUGCCCUUUCCCAUCACUAUCUGGAUGACCCAGGGCACCAGGAAGCCAUGAAGAUGGGAGGAGCUUGCUCCCUGAGUGACUACAUGGAACAGAGCACCCGUCACCUUGUCCUCCGCUACCUGCCCUGGACUGUGACUUGGAUGAGGCAAACCUUCACCGUGUGAAUCCACUAAGAGUUUAGUUUGUCCUGACAGCAUGGUGAAGGCAAGAUCUGAAACCAAAUCCACCAGACUCUAAAGACCAUCCUCUCUCACUAAGACAUACUGCCACAAAUACAGCAGAAAUAUAAAAGCCCAUCUAUAAAAUAUUAUCUAAUCCCACAGUUCACCUCUCUCCCACCGUGCCCCUCCCACAAACAAGAAUUAGAUUCCUAAAGAUUUUAGAGGAAGUUGGGUAAACAAAAACAUAAAAUCAAGCGAGCAAUCGACAAAUAUUUGUUGACUGCACACUACCUGCCAAGCAUAGACAAAUCUACUUUUGUUGUCGCCUUGAGGUCAUGAACUCUGCCCUUUGCUCUCCCGGAUGGGAGGGGAGCAGAGGACAAGGUGGGAGGUAAGUCUAUGCCUGUUCUUUUCAGCAAUGAGAUUCUCCUUGGUUCUCCCAGUGUGUUAAUGAGCUACCUGGGGAGUGUCUGAUUUUACGUUUGAGAAGAAGAAUAGACUUUCGAUCUGAAAAACACUUUUUAAAUUUAAAAUACAUUUGCAAAUGAAGCAACUGACAAAGGAUUAAUCUCCAAGAUUUACAAGCAGCUCAU